GGAGUUUGGACCGUCUCUCAGUUCCAAUGUGGCCGAUCACCCUCUCAGGUCGGCUACCGAUCGUCGACUUGGUGGGCCGUUACCUCACCAACUAUCUAAUCGGACGCGAGCCCACCCCAACCGGAUUGCUCCUUUUACCUCUGAGCCAUGUGACUCCGUGGUCUUAUGCGGUAUUAGCACCUGUUUCCAAGUGUUAUCCCCCUGUCUGGGACAGGUUGCUCACGCGUUACUCACCCGUCCGCCACUCGAAUGUCAGCGAAUCCUGCCGAAGCUCUCAUCUCCAACAUCCUCGUUCGACUUGCAUGUGUUAAGCACGCCGCCAGCGUUCGUCCUCGAGCCAUGAUCAAACUACU
This 353-nucleotide ribosomal RNA is filed under the name uncultured Coriobacteriales bacterium. RNAcentral describes it as "partial 16S ribosomal RNA". Lineage: Bacteria; Bacillati; Actinomycetota; Coriobacteriia; Coriobacteriales. The record is from RNAcentral.